UGGCUACGAGACGACGCUGGCGGCGUGCCUAACACAUGCAAGUCGAGCGGGAUAUUGAGAAUGAGAGCUUCGGCAGGAUUUUUUGAUAUUCUAGCGGCGGACGGGUGAGUAACGCGUGAGCAAUCUGUCUCAGACAGGGGGAUAACGCAGCGAAAGUUGCACUAAUACCGCAUGAGACCACAGAGUCACAUGGCUUAGGGGUCAAAGGAGCAAUCCGGUCUGAGGUGAGCUCGCGUCCUAUUAGGUAGUUGGUGAGGUAACGGCCCACCAAGCCGACGAUAGGUAGCCGACCUGAGAGGGUGAUCGGCCACACUGGAACUGAGACACGGUCCAGACUCCUACGGGAGGCAGCAGUGGGGAAUAUUGGGCAAUGGGCGAAAGCCUGACCCAGCAACGCCGCGUGAGUGAAGAAGGUCUUCGGAUUGUAAAUCUCUGUCCUAAGAGAAGAGGGGAAGACGGUAUCUUAGGAGGAAGCCCCGGCUAACUACGUGCC
This 493-nucleotide ribosomal RNA is filed under the name uncultured organism. Its description in RNAcentral is "SSU rRNA". It matches the Rfam family "Bacterial small subunit ribosomal RNA", at positions 20 to 509 of the family's 1533-position model. The record is from RNAcentral.